UCACCAGUAUUCCCCGCAAAUGGCGGUCGUGUGUUUGCUUAUAGUGGAUAUGAGUGAAACACUUGAGACUAUUUCGUGAAAUUUUUCUUAUCAAAACUUUGAAUAUUCCGUAUGGGCCUCAUGUAAAAACCUUUGUUGCAUUGUUGCGUCCAAGUGCGAAGUGAUUUGGAGCGCAGGUGGCGAGUGAAACGUCGGAGUAAACUGCGUAAAUGCAAAGUGUUUGUGCCGCGAAAAGUGCGUUUUGUGGAGGAGACGAAUCUGUAUUGAAAGUGGAUUUUCCCGAUGGAGUCCGGGCUCGGGGUUCAGCGGUGCUAAGUGUUGCUUGCAUCUUUCCUUCGUUGGUCCGGAAAAGAACGUCGUGGAGUUCACGUCCGCACGCAUUCAGACACCAAUUUCUCGGAUCGUCGCGUCUCGAAUGGUUUUCAUGCUAAAUGUUACGAUAAAACAAUCGUAAAAAUUGCGAUUAUAAAGGGUAAUGGCGGCCUCCACUCAAGGAGAAAUACGAGUGGGUUCCGGCCACCAGGUAAACGAUGUCUAUGCGAAAUUGCCCGAUUAUAAUCCAAUCUCAAGCUUUCCUAUUGAUAAAGAAUCUGAAAGGGAAUUGGAAGAUCCCCGAUGGAGCCCUGGGGUUGUCCUAGAUGGAGAUCUAUUAAUGUAUUUGCGAGCAGCCCGGUCAAUGGCAGCAUUUCAAGAAUUUCCAACAGGAAUGUGUGAUGGUGGUCUUGAAGAUGGUUGUUUAGCGGCUAGCAGAGACGAUACAACAAUUAAUGCCCUUGAUGUGCUUCAUGAUUCUGGCUACGAUCCCGGUAAGGCUCUUCAAGCGCUAGUUAAGUGCCCUGUAACAAAAGGAAUUGAUAAAAAGUGGACUGAAGACGAGACAAAAAAAUUUAUUAAAGGAUUAAGACAAUUUGGCAAAAAUUUCUUUCGUAUACAUAAAGAUUUACUGCCGCACAAAGAGACUCCAGAGUUAGUAGAGUUCUACUAUUUAUGGAAAAAGACACCUGGUGCGAACAACAACAGGCCGCAUAGAAGACGUCGUCAAGGAUCCCUAAGACGUAAUCGUGUUACGCGUGCAAGCAAUACACCUCCCAAGAAGGAGGAGACCCCCGAACCACAAACGGAGUCUCGCCCUUCACCGAUCUCGAAGGAAGAGAACAGCUCUUUGACAGAAGACGACGCAAGCGAAUGCGACAGCGAUUCAAGUUUAACCAACAAACGUGACGAAUCACCAUCCCGUAUGCGAACAAGAAACAAACCAACAAAAGAUCUCCCGAACAGUAAACAACGGCCGAAACGGGGAUCGGAGACACCGGAUAAUACAAAUGAAAAUCCGAAAACGCCAACGAAAAAUGACGGGAAACGGAAAGGCGGUAAAAUUGACAAUCCCAGCAAGAAUAAGAAGCGGCCCAUCGACACCGACGGAGAUAUUAGUGAUGAGAAGGAGAAGCGUAAACGACCAGAUAGUCCUGAUGAGAGUAUGAACUCUGAUAGUAGACCUGAUUCCGUUCUGGAUGAAGGAGACAACACAAACGAAGCACCAGAUCCACCAGAUAUCAUAAGUGGACCUAAAGAUGGCAGAGAAGAUGAGAAUCUUCUAGAUCCAUUAGCUUUACCUCCGCCGGUGGCGGACUCUCCAACUGUUUUAGUUGGUUCGGAGAAAGAUAUGGCCCAAGACGAUGAGUCCAAUCAACAACAGGAGUCGCCACUGGAAAAGGACCCUCUAGAGGAUGCUGUACCUCCCACGCAAACACCAUGUGUUCCAGCAUCAAUUCCUUUACCAUUGCAGCUAUCGGAAGAUAUCACCGACAAAGAACAACAGCAAAGGGAACAGAAACAACAACAAUCACAACAAGUUCCCCAGGCGCAAUCCGUUGUACCACAACCAAUAUCACACUCAUCUUCAUUGGACGUAUCGUCUGAAGAAAAUUCUAAUAGUAGUUACCUUCCCAAAGAGCAAGAAAUGCUUAAUAAAAUAGCAAAUAUAAAACAAGAAUCUUGUGGUCUGCCUGUAUCUAUUCCGAGAGUGCCGCCUCCGUCGCAACAACCACAACAACUUCAUCAACAGCCGCAAUCAAUCCAGCAACCAACUGGACAUCAAGAAUCAUCGCAAUCACAGCAGCCACCACAGCCAAUGUCACAAGCUCCAUUCAAUCCGAUCGAUUAUUCACCUAAGGAUGUCUACAUUAAGAAAGAGCCCACAGAAGACUCAAUGGAUGCAUGCAAUCAAAACAGCAAUGAACCGCAGGAUCUCAAAGUGAAAAUUGAAAUCAAAACAGAAGUGAAGCCUCAAGUCGGGGAUCAAAUCAACGCGGACAUGCCAGAUGAAAAAUUCGAGCCGCAAUUACUCGAUGGCCAUUUGAAGUUUGGCGGUCCAGGCGGUGCAAUGAAGUAUCCGAGUGAAAUCGAUAUGAAAUAUGGCAGUGAUUCGAUCAAGUAUACCCAAGAAGGUCCUGUGAAAUUCGCAGCAGAUCUCAAAUAUCCACCUCCAUGUGAUCCUAUGAAGUACGGGCAAGAUAUGAGCGCCGGGGCGAAGUAUGAUAUGAAGUAUGGCAUGGAACCGGGUAAAUAUCCAGGCGAAAUGGGCCCGAAGUCCUACGGGGACCCAAUUAAAAUUCCAGAUUUGAAAGCAUACCAUCAAGAUGCAGGCAAAUACCCACCACCUGAGGGUGCAAUGAAGUAUCCUCCAAUGGGUGAACCUAUGAAAUAUACCGGACCAGAUGGCAAACCUCAUUACGUGCAGGAAUCUCACCAUCCGCUCGCCAGGUCGCCAUACGAUUCGAAUAUCAUGAUGAAAUACGGUGAUCCGAUGGCAAAAUACGGAUUACCGCCAGGACCAAAUAUGCAACCGCAAGAUCUGAAGUAUCCUCCGCCAGAUCCAGGGCCCCUGAAACCUCCAUAUCAUGGGGAAAAUUUGAUCAAGGGGUCUCCGUAUGCGGAGAGUCCGGCUGGUAAAUAUCCUCCACCAGAAAGUCCAAUUGACGCCUCUUCCCGCACAACACCGAAUCAGGAUAGUCAGAGUAGCAACAGCAACUCACAGUCACAAUUCCAUUCACCGCACCCGUCGCAAAAUUCAUCACCGAUAAUACCGCAGGUGUCGAAUCACGUCGGUAUGCAUCCACAAAAUUUGGUAGCCAGUCAUCCCGGUCUUCCAGGGUCAAUGCAUCCUGUGAGUCAUUCUCCUAUGGUUUCUACAAGUUCUUCGCCACCAGUCACUGCACCUAACAUGCCCGUUGUGACGUCCUCGGCGUUAAUGCCUCCCAGUGCAACAGCUACUUCCACCGGUCCUGCAGGGCCCAUGGUUUCAUCCGCACACCAUUCAAGUGGCGGUGGUCCUCCGAGUCAUUUGACUUUGCACAGGCCUCAUCAAGACAUCCCGCCGUCAAUACAUCAUGGUUCUGUGCCACAUCCUCUACCAGGUCACAAUUUACCACCAAGUCACCAUGUUCCCAUUUCGAAUCAAGUGAGGACACCUUCUCCGGGUCCGCAACGGGUGAGUGAAGGAAGCAAUAGUAACAGUGCAAUGAAUCCUAGAGAACCGAAUCAACAACCUCCACCACCACAGCAUAGAAGUUCUCCUCUGGCAGCUCUUCCUCCAAGUCAAAGUUCCCUGUUGGGUUCGAUUCCUCUGCAUUUGGGAUCCUCGGCGCCACCAGGAAUACCAUUAACACAUCCAGGGCAUCCAAGUCAUAUGAUACCGCCAACGCUAUCGGGCAGCGGGCCUCUGCCUCUGAUAAAUAAUUCGUUGAGUGGAAUGGGAGAGCCUUUGCCUGGCCGAAGGACGCCUCCAAAUGUGGUAUCGUCGGCAGCAACAGGACCACCAACUCCUGCUGGACCAACUUCAGCAUUCAGUCGGGCGAGUCCUAGUGUACAAAGCUCUUCAUUGCAUAGUACCUCAUCACAUCGGUCCGUUUCUCCUGCUCAGGCGUCAGGUAGCAUAAGUCGUGCUAGCCCAUUGCAUCCGGUUCCACAAAGUCCUCUGGGUCAUCAUUCAUCUGCAUCAGCGCUCUCUGCAGCAGCGGCAGCAGUUGCAGAACGUGACAGACAUGCAUUGCUUCGCCAGCAAUCUCCUCAUAUGACUCCACCGCCAGUGUCAAGCGCGUCAGCUCUAAUGGCUAGCCCCCUCAGUAAAAUGUAUGGACCGCAAGGUCAACGUGGAAUCGGUUCAGCUUCGCCGCCUCAUCAUCUACGACCCGGCGCAUCUCCUCCCGUCAUUCGACAUCCGCAAAUGCCGCUGCCGUUACCUAUCAUUGGACCAGGCGGUGCUAUGCCACCGAUGGGUGUUCAUCCAGCUCAAAAUCCAUAUCCGCAUCAUCUUUUGCAUCCAUCGAUGUUUUAUGCGCAUCAUCACAAUCCUUUCCCGUCACCAUAUCCGUAUCAUCCAUACGGCCCUGGAUUUACCCCUUACAUGAAACCACCCCCACCGACCGGCCCUAUGGAGCCGACAGUUAUAGCGCCUGUUCAUCAUCCAAGUAUUUCGGCACGAUCAGCUGAGGAGACGCCAAGUCAUUCGGAUAAAUCAUUGUCGAUGUCUAGUUCACAAAAUUCACAGCACAAGCAACAAAUUAAACCUCCCACACCAAAGACUCCCCAAGGAAAUAGUACGAGUACGACCCCAACAGGUCCACCACCAUCGCAGUAUCCGAGCUCACAUCCAUACCCGCCACAGCAUUCUUCCUUCCCUGAUAGUCAAUUAUCUAGUUCACAAGCCAAACCCACGAGUCAUAUGGACGCUUUGAGAGCGCACGCUCAUUCGGCAAGCAGCAGUUUGAGCAGUCAUCAUUCAACAGAACCCUUGCCAAUUGAGAUUGAACCGGAUCCAGAACCAGAGAUCCCAAGUCCCACGCACAACAUCCCGCGGGGUCCAAGUCCUGAAGCCAAACCAGACGAUACAGAAUGUCAUCGAUCUCAAUCAGCAAUAUUUGUUCGGCAUAUUGACCGUGGUGAUUACAAUUCAUGCACAAGAACUGAUCUUAUCUUUAAACCCGUGGCGGAUUCGAAGUUGGCACGAAAACGGGAGGAGCGCGAUCGAAAGUUGGCUGAGAAGGAAAGAGAAAGGCGGCAGCAACAACAACAACAGCAGCAGCAGCAACAACAACAGCAAGCACAAGCUCAACAGGCGGCACAGCAGGCGAAACUUAAGGCAGAACUCAAGCCUGCAUAUUCGGACACACCAGCACUGCGGCAGCUUUCUGAAUACGCGCGUCCACACGUUGCAUUUAGCCCUGUUGAACCGAUGGUACCACCAUAUCAUCACGCAAUGGGGCCCAUGUAUAGUAGAGAGAGGGAACUCGAGGAGCUUAAGAAUGCACAGGCAGCUGUUGCUGUGGGACAGUCUCGUUUGGAUCCACAUUGGGUAGAAUACUAUCGAAUGAGAGGGAUUCAUCCAUCACAAUUUCCCCUGUAUGCGAACCCAGCGGCAAUAUCUCAACUUGAACGGGAACGGCUUGGCAUACCACCGCCACAUCAUGUUGGUUUAGAUCCGAACGACCCAAUGAUACGAUUGACGGGAGAAUAUCACGCUCAUUCUCAUACUCAUUUACAUUUGCAUUCACAGCAACAACCGGAAGCCGGAUUUCAACUGCCACCGAAUGUUCCACCAUAUCCGAGACCGAAUAUGCUGAUCCCGCGGGAGCCCCAUUCUGAUGUGUUACUUCGAAUGUCGUAUGCCGAUCAACUUCAGUAUUUGCAGGCCGCUGAAUUUCACCGACAGUCUUUGGAUCGGGCCCAUUCGUUACAUGAGCAAUAUUUCAGACAAAGACCGAGAUAAGAGGCCAUGCGGGAUUCUUCUGUUCAGUAAUAUUAAGAGUUUCCAGCGCUUUAAAAUUGUACAUCAUGAAAACACAAAAUAGUCUCAAUGAAACGACGUCAACAGUUUUCGGAGGAUGCAGUGCGUGCGCACCAUUUAAGUUUCUGUGUCGAAACACUCAAAGCAAAAUAUCUAACACAAUUAAGUCGAGUGUUGUAUGAAAUUUACCUAAUUUAUUCUGAUUUUUAGUCUAUUUUAUACUAUUCGGUGUGAAUAAUCGAUAAUAUGAGUUUUUGUGUGAGAUAAUUUCAAAGGAAAUAAUUUAAUUUAAGCAAUUUUCUCUGUAUGAAAUGAUCAAGUUGGAAGGGAGAAUGGUAUAGGAAUGUCGUUUUACCAAUAUUCAAACGAAAUCUUGCCUUGAAGAUUGAUUUAUCGUGUUGGAAAUUUCGGUUUCAUAAAGUCUUAAUGUUGAGAAUAAGUCGGUCCAGAUUUACUCAUUUGUAAACUAAUACAGUCAUCAAAUUACCGAGCAUUUUCGUGAAUUGUAAGGCACAAUCGAGUAGUGCGUUUUAGAAGAAAAGAGUAUCAAUCCAAAGUAUUGAUUUCGGGAAAUAAUUAAGAAGCUGCUUUCGGUAGCAAACGCGAAACGGACGCAAUAAGAUUUUAGUUGCAAGAUGAAUAGAUAUUGAUUUGUUUAUUACUGCACACCACCAGCCAUCGGCAGAGAAAGAGGAUCUAACAGGCGAUACUUAGGUACCAACUUAGAACAGCAACUAAUUUUCCAAUUUGCCAAAUAGUGAGGAUAGUUUGCGAAUAAAUUGAGAAGGAUAUAUUUUUCUUAGUCUAAGAUUUUCCAAGUACUAAAUUAUUCAUUACUCUUAAAUUGCUAUCGAUAAUAUAUAAUUUGAUUUAAGCAAAUAUUCAUGUAUUUGACAUAAUGUGUUCUUUAAAGUAACCUUUGAUUCUACAAUUAUUGUAAUCUAGAUUUGAAAUUCGAAUUCGUGUGCUAGCGCUCUCUCAUACUUAAAUCUUUAUGCAAGUGCAAAAUGCACACACAACACAACAACAAUCGUUGCUUCCUUAAAUAUGGCAUGUUCUUGAUUUGUGCUAACAUUACGGAAAAAUUUAUUUUCAUUAUUGUGAUUGUAACAAAUUUUAAUGUUACGAAAUAAUUAUUAGCUUUCUGUUGCUAUUCGGAAAAUUUUUCUCUAUAAGUUAAUUCGUAGGAAAUAUCAUAAACGAAAGUAUUUGACUAUAUUUUUACAAUUGACUAAGAUAGGAACGUUUAGUGUUUAGGAGGAAAAGCUUUAGUCUUUAUUCCAGUGGUGAAACGCUAACAUUUGAAUUUCGAGCAACAAAAAUAUCUAUAUUUCUGGGAAAAUUCAGGGAUCUUAAUAUGUUUAGGGAAAUGGCGGAGUCCAGUGACAUGAAAGGAGGGGGGAUAUAAAUGAAGUCGUGAAAACGCGAGAAAUUAGAAAAUAUUUCGUUUUAAUUUUGUUAUUGCAAGUUUGCACCGAAAUUUCGAGACAGUUAUCCUUGGCUGUCGUCUAAGCUAAAUGUGAUAGAAGACUACCAAUUUCUGUUACAAGCUUAGGAAGCUUCUGGUUUUUAUUUGCGGCGUCAAAAACCAUUGAAACUGCCACUUAGAUUUAUAUUUGUUAUAUUUUCCGUUUUAGAAUUUUGUUAGUAACGAUUUCAACCCAAUAAUAAUUUAUGUGCAGCAAUAAACUUAGAUUUCGAAAACAAAAGAAAGGAAAGAGAAUUUCACAUUCUAAAUCUGAAUAGUGAAUAGUUUUUACCGCUCCCAUUGAUCAGGCGUGAAACAUUUCCUUUCUGCAGGCAAUGGACACGAAACAUUAUGUAAAAAGAUCGAGUAAACAAAAGAAACAUUUUUUUUAAAUAUAUCUUUCUUUGAAAGUGAACAAUUAUUACUUAAAUUUAAGUUAAUGGAUAAGAUUGUAGUUUGAUUAUGUAUAUGUAACGGUAAGCUACAAAAGGUAUAAAGUUUGAUUUAGAUAUAUAAAAUAUUAAAAAAAAAAAGAAAAGAAAAGAUCAUUCUAUUUAAAUGAACGCUAUAUAAAUACAAAUAUAUAAAAAUAAAGGAUUUAGAGUAAGGAGUGUACUAUAUCAAAAAUAUAUGAUAAGAAAAUAAUUUUGUAGAUGAGAAUUCGAAAAAAAAAUAAUUGAAGGAUAAAAAAAAUAAAAUAUUGUAUUUUAUUGCAA
This 7969-nucleotide unclassified non-coding RNA is filed under the name Hermetia illucens (black soldier fly). Its description in RNAcentral is "arginine-glutamic acid dipeptide repeats protein, transcript variant X11". The record is from RNAcentral. Lineage: Eukaryota; Metazoa; Arthropoda; Insecta; Diptera; Stratiomyidae.